This 1641-nucleotide unclassified non-coding RNA is filed under the name uncultured fungus. RNAcentral's name for it is "sequence contains 18S rRNA gene, ITS1, 5.8S rRNA gene, ITS2, 28S rRNA gene". The stretch from base 704 to 1641 matches the Rfam family "Eukaryotic large subunit ribosomal RNA", at positions 1 to 961 of the family's 3401-position model. The record is from RNAcentral. Lineage: Eukaryota; Fungi.
GGAAGGAUCAUUGAAUCGAUCGAAUCCACACCGGUAAUCUUAGCGUACCCCCCGCGGGCCCUCUCACGAGGGCCCCGGGCGCCUGUCUUCCUCUUCACCGAGGGAGAGGGGCGGGUCGGGUUGGCCCCUCUCUCUUCCCGAGAGCAGAGGCCUCCCCGGCUGGCCAUAUUUCACCCCAACACACCCCAACUUUUAAACCCACACUGAAGCUUUGAGUGUUGGCCGCUGCCCCUUGGGCGGCGCGUCAUCCACAAACCAAAGACAACUCUCAACAACGGAUAUCUUGGCUCCCGUAUCGAUGAAGAACGCAGCGAAAUGCGAUACGUAGUGUGAAUUGCAGAAUUCCGUGAACCAUCGAAUCUUUGAACGCAAAUUGCGCCCAAGGCCUCGGCCAAGGGCAGACCUGCCUCAGCGUCGGCGCACCCCCUCGCUCCCCUUUCAUUCUUUAUUGAGUGCAAGCGGGCAGCGGAGCUGGCUCUCUCGGCGCCCCGGACCUUUGCUGGUCUGGGCGCUCCGGGUUUGCUGAAGCACAGAGGUUUGAGCAGCGACCCCGUUCGCAGGGCGACGGCUUGGUAGGUGGGCUUGCCCGCAUGCAGCCAACUGCCGCCGCCCGAGGGGCUCCUGCUGGAGACCGCGCAGGAAUCUGGGUUUUCUGUGGGGCGAGGCCUUGACCGGCCCCGCUUCCCGCCAGACACUCUAUCAUUCGACCUGAGCCAGAUCAGACUACCCGCUGAACUUAAGCAUAUCAAUAAGCGGAGGAGAAGAAACUAACCAGGAUUCCCCUAGUAACGGCGAGCGAACCGGGAAAAGCCCAACUUGAAAAUCUCCAGCCUUCGGCUGGCGAAUUGUAGUCUAUAGAAGCGCUCUCUGUGUCGGUCCGUGCCCAAGUCCCCUGGAAAGGGGCGUCCGAGAGGGUGAGAACCCCGUGGGGCGCGGCUUCCGAUACCUCACGAGACGCUUUCGCAGAGUCGGGUUGUUUGGGAAUGCAGCCCAAAGCAGGUGGUAAAUCCCAUCUAAGGCUAAAUAUUGACGGGAGACCGAUAGCGAACAAGUACCGUGAGGGAAAGAUGAAAAGAACUUUGAAAAGAGAGUUAAAAAGUGCUUGAAAUUGUUGAGAGGGAAGAGAUUGAACGUUGCGGGUGCGCCCAGGCACACGCCCGCCUCACGGCUGGUUGAAUGCACUGGGCGCUGGUCAGCAUGGGUUGGCGCGGCGGGACAACCCCGGGGGUUGAUACCCCGGCUCUGCCGCCGCGCCGACUGAGGCCUCAAGGGCGCUCUUCGAGUCCUUCGGGAACUGCGUCCUCAGGAUGCUGGCGGAAGACGUUCAAUCUGCCCGUCUUGAAACACGGACCAAGGAGUCUAACGUGUAUGCGAGCUGGUGGGUGGCAAACCCAUGAAGCGUAAGGAACCUGACUGGUGCGAUGGCCUGUGCCUGCAGCAUCGACCUCUCUUGAGCUUCUGCAAAGGAUGAGAGUACGAGUAUACACGCUGGGACCCGAAAGAUGGUGAACUAUGCCUGAGCAGGGCGAAGCCAGAGGAAACUCUGGUGGAGGCUCGUAGAUGUGCUGACGUGCAAAUCGCUUUUCGGACUUGGGUAUAGGGGCGAAAGACUAAUCGAACCAUCUAGUAGCUGGUUCCCUC